RNAcentral lists this transfer RNA (531 nucleotides) under Vibrio splendidus. Its description in RNAcentral is "16S-23S ribosomal RNA intergenic spacer". The stretch from base 67 to 139 matches the Rfam family "tRNA". Lineage: Bacteria; Pseudomonadati; Pseudomonadota; Gammaproteobacteria; Vibrionales; Vibrionaceae. The record is from RNAcentral.
UACGAAGAUACCACGAUGAGUGUCCACACAGAUUGAUUAGGUUUAGAAAGUAAAAGAGAUACUAGUGUCCCGUUCGUCUAGAGGCCUAGGACACCGCCCUUUCACGGCGGUAACAGGGGUUCGACUCCCCUACGGGAUACCAUCUUUAAGUAUUCUCUUCUAUCAGAGUAUUUAAAAAUGGUUCAUUAGUUUGAAUCAAGCUCUUUAACAAUUUGGAAAGCUGACUGAUUGAUUACUUACGAGUAAUUCAAUCAAAUUUAAAAGUUCUCAAUGAUUAUCUUUCAUUAGAUAAACACAACAAACACAUUCAAGUGUCUUGUAUUCGAAUGAUCAGAAAUGAUUGUUCAUUUUUUGAUUCUACUUUUUAUUAAAAAGUGGAAACAAAAAGUAAAUUGAGUCCGGCAAACAGUUAUCAAGAAUUAACCCUUCUUGAUGACAACCAAAAACCUUGGUUAGUUGCCAUACGCUUAUUUGUCUUCACUUUUUAAAGUGAAAGCAAAUAGAAACCCUUUCGGGUUGUAUGGUUAAGUG